This 629-nucleotide long non-coding RNA is filed under the name Homo sapiens (human). RNAcentral's name for it is "long intergenic non-protein coding RNA 2207". The record is from RNAcentral. Lineage: Eukaryota; Metazoa; Chordata; Mammalia; Primates; Hominidae.
AGAGGCCUCUGCUCUGCCAGCCUGGGAGUCAUCUUCACCCUCAGGCUGGUAGACUCCAGUCUCUUAGGUCAGAAUGGGAUUAGAGACCCGUUCCUGAACCAGUCACACACAGCGGGUGAAACUGCUAUGAUUGGUUUAGACUUAGAGACUGGAAUGGAUGCUGAAAUUAGAAUUAAAGGAAUCAGAAUUGAAGUGAAUCUGACUACACUAAGCCUAUCACUUGUGACAGCCAUGGGAAGAUAUCAUUGGUUGCUGAGGAGCAGAAAUAAGCAGAGACCUAUUGUGUUAGGUUAUCAUUCAUUUCAGACAAAAAGCAGAUCAGCAAGUUUUCAUAUUGCACUAUUUUCAAUGGCUGGAGCAUCAACAUUUUACAACAAGAAAAAAAUUAAAAUUCUUCAACAUUUGGAAAAGAAGUGUUUGUAAAACUUUUCACAUCCAUUCACCAUCCGGAAAAGCAAGGUUUUACAGUGAGGCCUGAUGAUGUCUAGAGUCACCAUGCAUCUUGGAAAAUGACCUCCUAUUUAUUUCUUCUACAGGACACCAUGGUGUUCACCUUUCUACAACUUUACACUUGCUGAGGACAUAUUGUGGAAAAUUAAGAGAAAUAUAUAUGGAUGGCCAAGGCUGUA